CGCUGCCUUGGAACUGGGCUCCCUGCCCCCUUCCGAGGUACCGCUGCCCAGGAUGGACUGGAUGGUAAAACUGGAGAUCGGAGCGGCUGCGGGGCAACACUUGCUCGGGUCUUCUUUGUUGCUCAUCCUGGGUUCAUAAGAAAUAAGAGGAAGAAAGCGCUCCCUUUAGAGCCACUCCGGGGGAAGAUCUCUACUGAUCUCCAGGCGGCGGGGUGGCGUGGCUUCAUUUGCAUGGAGGUUACAUCUGCUCGGGCCAAUCACAGACUGCUGGCAGCCCCGGAAAGUUUCAAAAUCCUAGCCCCCCGCAAGCAGGCCCGCUGGUUUUCGGGGGGCUGCUGGCUGAAGCCAACGGAACCGGAUCGCAGCCGCUCAUUAAGCUCACAAGUGGAGGGCUCAGUUUAAAGCCGGCCGCUAAUAGGGAUAAAAUAGAGCCAAACCAGCGUCUACGUGUCUGUUCCUUCUCCACCACCUCGUCGGUAACCUUUUAGGUUGAACUGGUGUGGGCUGAAUCUCUUAUUUAAAACCGUGGGAAGUUGUUUAAAUAAACACGUUGUGCGUUUCCGUGGGUUUUCACCCUUUUGCUCAUGAACCUGAUUUGCUAAAGUCUGCUGCCUAACAAGCAACAUUUGAGCAUAAAGGUUGAAAGACAGGAGUUUUGAUGCUGCACAUAAAAGGGUAAAGGAGGUCGAGGAAAUGACUCCAGUUCCAUUUUGUCUUCCCCAGUGUAAAGGGGAAAUGCUUUUGUAUAUUUCCAAAUGAACUUUUCCGGAGCCAGGGAGCGUUCCCACACCAGAGAGAGCCCAGCCCCAGCUAAAACAGGCAAACCUGGGAGCAGAAAAAAAGCCUCCAAUUUAUUACCAUUAUUUAAUAUAAAAACGCAAGCAAAUUAGAUCUGGAAAAUUCCAGGUGCUAGAGGAGAAUUUGGUUUGAUUAAGGCACCGGCUUCCAUUUUGUAACUAAUA
Long non-coding RNA from Mauremys reevesii (Reeves's turtle), 962 nucleotides. RefSeq lists it as uncharacterized. Lineage: Eukaryota; Metazoa; Chordata; Testudines; Geoemydidae. The transcript is spliced from 2 exons. The record is from RefSeq and is a predicted model, not a curated record.